RNAcentral lists this long non-coding RNA (27767 nucleotides) under Nicotiana tabacum (common tobacco). Its description in RNAcentral is "long non-coding RNA (NTAB_LNC012055)". The record is from RNAcentral. Lineage: Eukaryota; Viridiplantae; Streptophyta; Magnoliopsida; Solanales; Solanaceae.
AUCUCUUUGUGGUCCUGUUGUGGAUGAAGUUAAGGUGACCCCUGUUGCUUAGAAGUACACAGAGCUUUUGUAAUGGUCAAUAGAGUUUUUUGCAAUGCUAAUUUCAUACUUAUUAAGCUACCACUGUGAGGCAAUUGCUGUAUUUUACCUAUGUGAUUGCUUUAAACUAUGAAUUAGAUGCCUGCUGUGAGACUUGUGUACUAUUGCUUUUAAGGAAGUGUGGAUCUAGUUGAACUUCCUCUCCUUUACUAUGUGCACUUUGAUCUUGAUUCUUAGAUAGUCAAGAAGUAAUAUAUAAAAUUGUACUACUAUAUUUCAAACUUUUCAUGUUUCUUGAAGGAUGAAAUAUAAAUGAGUUAGUACCCCAAAAUCCGUCUAAAUUAUAUAACUUUUGUGUGAUGUCUACUUCUAUCGCAUGUUUCCGAAAAUCCCCCUAAACUAUAUGAUGGUUGAAGCAUUCGCUGCUAAAGAAACAUUCAAAGUUCCCUUCAAGUCACAAGGAAAAGGCAGCUUUAAGACUGUUAGUUUCAAGUUCACAGCUAUCGCAGACAGGACAAGAAUUACUUUCUACAGCUCUUAUUACCAUACAAAGAUCAAUGACUAUGGAUCUCUUUGUGGUCCUGUUGUGGAUGAAGUUAAGGUGACCCCUGUUGCUUAGAAGUACACAGAGCUUUUGUAAUGGUCAAUAGAGUUUUUUGCAAUGCUAAUUUCAUACUUAUUAAGCUACCACUGUGAGGCAAUUGCUGUAUUUUACCUAUGUGAUUGCUUUAAACUAUGAAUUAGAUGCCUGCUGUGAGACUUGUGUACUAUUGCUUUUAAGGAAGUGUGGAUCUAGUUGAACUUCCUCUCCUUUACUAUGUGCACUUUGAUCUUGAUUCUUAGAUAGUCAAGAAGUAAUAUAUAAAAUUGUACUACUAUAUUUCAAACUUUUCAUGUUUCUUGAAGGAUGAAAUAUAAAUGAGUUAGUACCCCAAAAUCCGUCUAAAUUAUAUAACUUUUGUGUGAUGUCUACUUCUAUCGCAUGUUUCCGAAAAUCCCCCUAAACUAUAUCCCCCUUCAUAAUAAAAUCCCCUCGUCGCUUAUGUGACAUUAUGUGUGUUAAUAAAUUGCCCAAGAGCGCGUGAAGGCUAAAUAAACCCCCAUUAAAAUGGCGUGUCUAACAGCUAAUUAGCCCUUCUUUUUUGAAAUUUAUAUUUCUUUUUAUUUUCUCCUCUUUUUCUUUAUAUUUCACCUUCCUUAUUUUCUUCACCUUUCUUCAUUUGAAUCCAUCUGAAAUUUUCUCUCUUUAUCAUUUUUGAUUUUUUUCUUAUCUUUCUCGUUUUACCCGUGUGUAGCUAUCUUCUUUAACAAUUUAGGUAUCUCCUUUCAACAAUCUUCACAAUUCAGGUCUAUCAUAACCCUAAUCUUCUAUAUCGAAUUAGGAGCAGAAACCCUAGUUUUUAUCCUGCUUUUCGAAUGGAAGCAAGAAUAGACAAUGCAAUCAAGAUUAGAACCAAGAUUAAUUAAGAAAAUCGCUACUGAGUGUAGCCAUUCUUUGAUGAGAGCAAAAAGAGAAAAUGAGUUUUUUACAAUUGACCCACUAGUUUUAACCCUAGCCUCCUUUUUUAUUUUUAGUAAAUUUUUAUAAUGAUAUAAUAAAGUGUACUAAAAUCUUAAUUAAGUCUGUUUUUAGAUUAAGAUAAAGAAAUAUUCAUGUAGAUUGUCACAUGGCAGAUUUUAAAAAUAAUUUCGAGAGUGUAUUACAUGCACUAGUAAGAAUGCGACGAGGGAGCUUAUUAUGAAGGGAGAUAUAUUUUAGGGGGUCUUCGGGGACAUGUGAUAGUUUAUGUAGGCAACUGACAAAGAUUGUAUAGUUUAGACGGGUUUUAGGAUAUUAACUCAAUGUAAAUUACAUUACUAAUCUUCUCACUUUAGUCACUUAGUUGGAUUUUUUUUUCUUUCUUUUGUUAUACCCUUUCUAUCUAAUUUUUCUGGUCACCGUACAAUCUCACAAUCCCUUUGUCAGGAAUAUACCUCUAAUAAAUUCCAACUCCUCUUCAAACGCAUACCCCUAAAGUGUUUAUGGCUUAUGGCCUUCCUAAAAAAGAAAAAUUGUCUUUUCAUAAAAAGCUUAACAGGCUUGUAUAUAUUCUGCUCUGUUCUCUUCAGUGGCUGCACCCCAGACUAGUCAGAAAAAACUAAUUUCAAGGGGUAAAGUGAAAUAAAUCACUCUUUAGGUUUUAGUAGGGAUGACAAAUGGGUUGAUUUGACAGAAUUUGGGCGGGUCAAGAUGAGUUAGGUCAAUAAAUAAGUCAUUGCCCAACUCAGCCCAAAACAUACUUCGUCUAAGAUGGGCUGGNNNNNNNNNNNNNNNNNNNNNNNNNGGGGUAGGGUUGUAGGGUGGUGCAGAAAAAUAAAAAAUUAAAAUUAAAAAUACAAAAAUAAAAGUAAAUAUUUUUUUAAGGGGGUUUGCGCGAGAAAAUUCUCGUUGGAUUUUCUUUUGUAGGAAUUGAUUGCAAGAAGAAUAUUGCUAACGUCUCACUCUGGUUGUAAUGGUUGAGAAUGAAAUUUGUUGAAGAUUAGGAGAAUGGCUAAUACAAAAAAGAAAGAAUUACAAGAAAAUACAUAUGACUUCACACCAUAACAAAAAAUGGCCCAUGUUUUUAAGUUUUACCCCACCUAGCCCACAUUGUACAUAUUUUGAAAGCACUUGCAAAUUCAAAAUCUGUGUUCUUACAACCAUUGCUUUUAAAAGCUAUGGAGUUAAUUCUUUGUUCUCACAACCAUUGCUUUCACUCUCUCUUCUUCUCACAUCUUCUACAUAUGCUUCAAGGGGCCGUGUAUUUUCUGAUUCUCCUCUUGUGUCACCUGCUUGCAAUGUAAGAAAAUUGAAGAGUAGAAGUCCACCAUUGAAGACCAUUCAAAGCUUUGCUUUUGAUAAUGGUUUUUUUUUGAAUUUGUUAGUUGUUUGGAUCGGGUAUUGUUCCAAUUGAUUGAAAAUAUCAAAAGAAGUUCAAAAUUUAAAUUUGAGGUGAUUUGGAGUAGAUUUGAGCAGGAUUUGAGUUAAAUUUCAGAAAAGACACAAGGAAGAAGACGAAGUCAGUUUUUGUAUAAUUAUGUAUAAUCUUGUAUAAUAGUGUAUAUGAGUGUAGAAACACACCUUAUACACUAUUAUACAUUUUUAUACACCUUUAUACAAGCGUCUGUAGACGAAUUUCUUCCACGAUUUUCAGUUGCGAUUCUCGUUCAAAACUAGUCCAAAUCUCCAUUAAAUGACUUCAAAUUUUAUAUACAACCUCCUUAUACUAUUUCUAACAAGUCUAAAUAACACUCACUCCAAAUUUCUCACAAAAUCAAAUUCGAAAUUGAAACCCACAUUUUAAGCUUGUUAAAAAUCUAAUCUUCACCACCCAAAUGAAUUUGGUUUGUUGAAUUAAUAUUUGAGUCACGUUACUGAUUCAAAAAUUAAUUUAAAAGCUUCAGGACUCUUUUUUAAAAAUUAAAUAGUAAUUUUGAGAAUCUAUUUGAGUUGGAUGUUGAAUCUUAGCCUAUUAUUUUUUGGGCUAGUUGGUUACUGUAAAUUGAAAUAUAGGCUAUAAAAUUGAAAAGUAUAGAGCUCAGUUGUUCUAAUGUGAAAUUUUCCCUACAAAAAAUAAAAAUUGAAAAUAUAAAAAAAAAGUAAAAAAGAAAUAAUUUUGAGGGCGGUUUGCGCGGGGAAUGGGGAGGGGGGGUAGGGUGGGUGAUGCAGAAAAAUAAAAGAACAGAAAAUUAAAAAUAUAAAAAAAUAAAAUAAAAUUAGGGCAACUAAGUAAAUUUUUAGAUAAGUUGGGUUAAAAUCCCUUUGUUUUGGGUGAAUUUCAUGGGUUAUAUUUGAACUGCUUAAUGGGUCAGAAUAGGCUAUAAAAAAUAAUGGAUUAGCUUGGGCUCAGCCCAAAUUGACCCAUGAGCUAAAAUAUUUAUAGCUCAACCCAUUACUCUCUUGGCGGGUUGGCAGGCUGGAUGAGUUUAAACUCAAAUUGCCACCCCUAGGUUUCAGUUUACCUACAUUCUCAAUUUGCUUAGUGAUAAAGAAACACAACAUCAUUCAGACAAGCAAUUAAAAUUAGUACACAAUAGCCAAAUAAUGAAAAUAUAACAGAAGAUAAUUCCGACUUCUAGGGAAAAAAAAAAGGAAAGAAAAAUAAGAGAAACUUGUGCAGGUGUUCAACCGGAGGAAUAUUUACUCUAUUCAUUUCUUAUUAUGAAAUUAAUAAAAAGGAUGUCGCUUUGUCAUACAGUUUAUAGAGAAUCAAACUCCUUUUCUAUAGAAUGGUUAGUCCAAUGUACUAUGGGCUUAUAGACUUUUCCACAAAAGAAGCGAAUGUCCUCUGUUCAAGUCAUCUGCUUGUAGUGACAAUGCUCAUCUGAUACAAUGGAGAGAUCUCUGUCAUAAAAGAGAGCUCAGGAAACAAGGAUUCUUCAUUUGCUGUCAUCCAAAAUGCCCACAAGACACUUCUCCAAUAGAAAUUCAGCAUUAACCCAGGCAUGGUAUUUGUCUGAACAAAGUGUUAAAGAAUGCAAGUUUUGAUGAAACAAAGAAAAAUUCAAAUUCUAAGCAAGGAAUACUAGUGUUGCAAACUCCAACAUUAGAAAGUUCUUUGCCCUGCCAUUCAUCAGAUCCAUUUAAGAAAAUAUAUCCUUAUUGCCUUUGAAAAGGCUCAUAAUUUUACGUCAAAUAUCAUCCUAUCACAAUUGUUAAUCCGAGCAUCUUGACUAAUCCACCAGGCAGUCUAUCCAACCCACAAGCACAGGUCACCAAGUUAAUCAUGCCGACUAAAGUUGGACCACAUGGGCUCACACCAAUAGUUGUAACUAUGAUUCAAACCUGGAAUCUGAAGGUGGUUACUCCCUUGCUUCAACCACUAGACCAUUGACCAUCCCCUUGGAGACAACGACCAUUAUUAAUAUUUCCUAUAUGCUCUGUGUGUGUGUGUCUGUUGAGGCAGGGAGGAGGGGAAUCAGGGCAGGGUGAGGAGGGUCAGGAUAACUUUAGCAGAUGCAGAAUAAUGUACACAUGGUACACAUAAAGCCUGAUGUUAGUAUUGCUGAUGGAAGAGGAGCUCCAUCAGCAAUGGCAGAAGAGGAUCCACUUUUCAUGUACUUUUUGUGCAACCAAUCCGAUAAUUAGUAAUCUUUAACAGAUUCGAUAUGGAGAUCCCAUUAAACUUUAGUUGAAUCUAGUACGGCUAUAUGAGUUUUACAAACUAGGAAAAUAACAAGAGCUAGCAGAGGAUACUAAACAAUGCCGUGCAAUCUUUUCCUACGGCCUUCAACAGCAUGUCAACACCUGAAAAAGAGAAGGUAAACAAACUAGUCCAAGUAAAUAAAAUUCAUAACUUAAUAUCAAAAUAAAGUUUUCCUUGGUUAUUACUAAAGGAAUCUAUUGAAUGCAUGAACAAGUGAACAGUAAUCGUGAGGAAUGGGACAAAAACAACAGCACAGAGGAUAGACAAGUAUCUUGGAGUGCAAACAAAUUACAAGAGGUAGAACGCGGGAAAGGAAUAAUGAACUACUUAUAUAUACUUCUGACAAAGCAUCAGUGAAAAGUAGAAAGUGAAAAUGUCACCAGUUGAUUUCAAAGUUAACUUCAGCAACAGCUCCUUGAAAUCAGAACAUUUCCAUCUUUUACAAAUUCCAUGACAGUUUAUCAGCUAUCACUUGCAAAAAUAGGUCAAAAUAAUGAAGGAAAUUAAAAGAAUUUUCAUGUCAAAUAUAAAAGAACUAUUGACUUAGAAAGAGUUUAAAGUUCUUGACCAUUCUGGAAUCUUUACCAGCUGCCUGGCAUAUCACCAAAUCCAUAAACAUUCCUUUUUUGCUAUACAUAAAUAGGAAUUGAACUACAAAGAAUCAUGAGGAUUCCAGCUAAAAAAAAGUCUAAUUUCGAGGCUUUAGAAGGAAUUCUAUUUAAGAGGCUCACUUGAGCCUCCAAAGUCCACAAUCUGCCCCCACCGCCGGAAAAUUCCCAGAAAAGAAAAUAGAAGAAAAAGACUGCGUUAACAGACAAUGGAUUCCGAGUUGAGAGCACAUGGAAAUCAGGAGACAAUUAGGUCAAAAAAGAUUAUCCAGUGGUUCUCUAAUAAUGUUUUCAGAAGGGAUUCCCAAGGCAAGGAAGAUGGCAGAGGAUGUAUACUUCUUCGCAGGGGUGGCAAACGAGCAAGUUGGGCUGAAUUUAAGCGGGUCAAGAUGGGUUAGGUCAAUAAAUGGGUCAUUACCCAACCCAGCCCAAAGUGUACUUGAGCUAAGAUGGACUAAACAAUGGGUCAUAGCCCAACCCGCCCAACUUGACCCAUGUUUUAGAACCAUGCUCAUCUUGCAUAAAAAGGCCUUUUACCUUAAAAUGUGUAAGUUGAAAAAUAUUUUGCGGGUGGGGGUGAGAUUGAGGAGGGUGGGUGGUACAGAAAAAUGAAAAAACAGAAGAUUGAAAAUGCACAAAAAAAAGAAGAAGUAAAAUUAGGACAACUAAGUAAAUUUCUAGAUAAAUUGGAUUGAGAUCCCUUUGUUUCGGGUGAGUCUCAUGGGUUGUAUUUGGGCUGCUUAAUGGGUCAGAAUGGGCUAUAAAAAAUAAUGGGUUAACUUGAGCUUAGCCCAAAUAGACCAUAGACUAAAAUGUAUGUAGCCCAACCCAUUAAUCUCUGGGGAGGGGGGAGGGUUAGGGUGUAGAGUGCGUGGGUAGGUGGUGCAGAAAAACCAAAAAACAGAAAAUUGAAAAUACAAAAAAAAGGGGGUAGGGGUUAAAGUGGUGGUGUAGAAAAACGAAAAAACAGAAAAUUGAAAAUACAAAAAAAAAGUAAAAUUUUUUUGGGUGGGUGGGGGGUGGGGGGGGUUGGUGUUUGGUGCAGAAAAACAAAAAACAGAAAAUUGAAAAUUAAAAAAGAAAAAAAAAGAAAGUAAAAUUGGGGCAACUAAAUAAAUUUCUAGAUAAGUUGGGUUUGAGAUCCCUUUGUUUUGGGUGAGUUUCAUGGGUUGUAUUUGGGCUGCUUAAUGGGUCAGAAUGAACUAUAAAACAUAAAUGGGUUAACUUGGGCUCAACCCAAAUACACCCAUGAACUAAAAUAUUUGUAGCCCAACCCAUUAAUCUCUGGACGGGUUGGAUGGGAUUGGGCUCAAAUUGCCACCCCUACUUUUUCAGAUAGAUAGAGUUAACCAUGCUGGUUUCCUAGGUCCGCACACAACAUACAUCUAGUAUGGCGACUCUAUGAUUUACUGCUUACUGAGAGCAACAUUUAGCAUAUAACUCAGGUCCAUAAACCUCAUGCCACCAUCCCAUCCUUUCCAUAUCCUCUUCAUAAAAGCAGGGAAUGGAGGAAUCCACCCUCACAGUCAAGUCUCACAUUAUGAUAUGCAUGAACCAGAGAUUAUGUCUUCAAAAACCUUCCCCUUUGAGAUUUAUUUUUGGAAAAGUAAGCUGUUUUAUUCAGAAUUCUAGCACCAAGUUGAUGCUGUACGAAGCUACAAAAGCCUUCUCUGGACUAUUUGCCCUAUGUGUCAUGUACUCAAAUGAAAUCCAAUACAUUGUCAGUGUUAUUUACAAAAGCAAUACUGCACCAAAAACUUAUGUAUCGUAAGCAUUGGAUCUUUACAAAAGAUAAAACAAAAGAUCUCUCUAAAACAUCUUUGGUUCCUCUCUUACCAGGCUGUCCAAAAACUACAUGUAAGGAAUGGUUCUCAACCAUCUCCUGUGGAUGUUCUUGAGAAACCUUCUAAAUUUUGUUACUCAUAAUUUCUGGUUCUCAUGUUAUACUAGGGAAAUUAUAAUAAAUACACUUCAUACACAUUGCCUCAAAAGGUCAGUUACACAAGAACAUUGGUCAAUGAAAGACAACGUAAAAGUUAAGGGAGACUAACAUGAAAAACUCGAGGUUACCACAAAAGUUAAUGCUCAGUCAUACUAAAGGUUCCGGUAAAAAUGAAAAACUCUUUAAGAGGCAAGGUCAACUCACUUAUAAGUUAUAUCAAAUGCUACAAAAUUUCUAUGGCAUUAUACCACAUGUAAUAUUUAAAUAUUCAUUACACCCAGGGCAAUGUGAGCGUCACUGAACCUGCCACAUCAAGGUGCAAGAACAUAACAGUUCACCAACUCCUUUGGUAUGUAUGGCCCACCACGUAAUCCCACUCGCUAGGACAACUCUUCAUUAAUACUCCAGGAGAAUGAAUUUCAAACAGUGAAUGAUGUAGCUCACCAGCAAGACUCAUCUAAAUAACUAGUUAGUCUCAGAAGCAAAAGAAAAUGUCAAAUUGUAUGCUACUAAGUUGACAAACUGGCAAGCUCAGACUAUGAACUGAAACACCGAGUAUCUUUGAGGACAAAAGAACUAUUGAGAUUGAAAUGCAUCUGGCACAACAUGGUACAGUAGAAAGCCAAGAUGGGACAAGAAAUGAUUUCCAUAACUAAUUAACGAGAUAGAGCAAAGCAAAAUUUGAUCCAUACCUCCUGGGUGAAACUUCAUGUAUGGUGUUAUAUUGUAGACAUGGCCUUUAAGAACAGUCCACAUUGAAUCUUCAUUUUGGUGUUGCUUAACUUCAUUUAUUGAUAUAAGUCUCCUAUUGGACUGUCCUUUCAAUCCUGAACAACAGAUGCAAGAAAACUGGAAUAAGAAGCACAAGAAAGAGAAGUUCCACGGGAGGAAGCCAACCAAGUGAUUGACGAUAAUGCACUUUAUAUGUCAGACAUAGGGUAGAAAAUUACUGUAGUACAACAAGGAUUUGCAUGUUCCCUUCAUUUGUUUACUCUACUUCUGUUAUGGAGGGAGAAAUUUUUACUAGACUACCCAUAGUAAUGAGUACAAUAAACUUUUAACCUUGGUUUAAUGCAUCAAGGCAUCUGAAGAUUGAUUCCAAAGGACAUGCAAAAUGAAAGUUAACUGCAGAGCAAGCUGCAAUUUUGAAAGGUUUUACAAUUCUAUGUUGGUGAGUAAUAGCUACUUCCUAUUUCCCACUAAAGCCUGUUCUAUGCUUGAGGCUUAGACACUCAAAUGAAACAGGAUCAAUUUCAUUUGUAAAACAGUAAUAUGCAAUAUCUUUUAUAAUAGAACAGUAGCGUAUAUUAACACAAUAUCAUCUGCAAGUAUCAUGCACCACGGAACCUCAUUCUACACACAAUAGGUACUUGUCUAGAGUUUGUAUACGGAAUAAUAUCUUCACAUCAAAGGACUUUUUAGACAACCUAUACAUUUAGGGGACCCUUAAUUAACCCUAAAAGACAAACUAUUUAGUAUUGGAAUGAAAUAAUCCCAAACUAAAGUGGCAUAGGUUUAGAGUAUUCAUAUAUCUUGCCCCAAUUAGCUUAGAAUAAAGGCACAAUAGAUCAAUUGAUUGAUUGAUAUCGCAUGACCUUCUGAAGUAGUUCUUUUGUUCAUCGGAAGUCUUUUACAUCAAAGGUUUGUUAUUCCUCAAUUGGCUUAUAGGAUUUCCAACCAGCCUUGGUAUUAGAGCCCAAGAUAAGCUCAUGAAGUUAGGGGUUCAAAUCCUCCUUUUCGAAAGUUGCGCAACAUCGCAUGCGAAGCCUGGUAAAUGGACUAACAAGGACGAAGUGGAUCAACAAGUUUUCUGGUCCAUUAUUGGACAGGAUUUUUAGGCUCUGUUACAGCUCAAGCUAAGAAAGGAUACAAUAUCCAGCAUUAGACAUUCACAUAUUCGCUCCUUAUCUUGUGCUACCUAAUGGAUUUAACGAGCCAAAUCUAGUUGAUCUAUUAACUACUUUCAUUAGCAAACGAAACUACAAAUGCGUCUAGGCAUAGCAACAAAAUCACUUUUUUUACCUGAUAUAGAAUAAUGCAAACAAGUAAUACAUCUUUUUUGUUAUUCUGGAAGGAAUUCCACAUAUGAAGUACUAUACUUAUACGUCUAUUGAACUAUAACCUGUAUAAAACUCGGUGAAAUAAAGCCAAAAAGGCGAACUUGGAAAUGCAUUUAUACCCUGUUUCUUUUCUAUCCUUAUCAAUAUAUAAUUGGAAGAACGACAAAUUUCAGAAUAAAGUGCGGAAGAUUACACCAAGAGAUUCUUACCUGCAAGGUCAGGAUGUGUUCUUGUAAGCUUAAGCCAGUCCAUCUGGCUAUAACCCUUCUCAAAGGGAACCUUGGCUCGAGCUGCAGACUUCCUAGCAGGCUUUAUCUGUUCUUUAGAAACUGUGACUGAAGAUCCACCAUCUCUUGAUGCUACUUGACCAGAAGUUCGGCUCACUUGCUUGCGUGGAGAUGUGUCUAUAACAUUGAAAGACAAAGAACCAACUGUUCCCUCCUUCUUUGUGGUAGCAUUGCUGUCCGAUUUACCUUCCCAUGGUGCAUCAUUAUUUUGACUAAUACCAGCAUCAUUUGAGGGCUCAUCUUUUAUUCUAAUUUCACUAAUAUCUUGAGCGAACUUCUGUGCGUCUACAUUAUCAGGUCCACCAACCUAAAAAGCCCAAUUGAUCUUUCAGGUUCAACUGAUAAAAGAGGAAUUUAACAAGGUAAUACGACUUGAUCUUCAAGCAUGAAUGUCUCACAUGUCCUUCAUUACAUGGUGUUAUUACUUAUUAUCUCAAUUACCUGACAGAACGUGAAAUCAUCAUCAUUAGCCAUUGCUAGCUCAGCUGUGUAAUGACACCAACCAAAAAGGUCCUCUUCAAGGAAUCUGGUGAAAAUAAAAAAAUUAACAUUGAUAACAAAAGUCAGUUCCUCUUCCUUUUCCACACUCAUCAUUCUUCUAAAAUUGUUAAUUUGUAUUUAAAAGGCACAGUAUUGAAGUAGUGUUCUAUUGUCCAGUAGGGUGAUAUGAGUGCCCCAUAUAGCUGACAUUAGUAUUUGUAUUCAAAGACUGUGGUGCAUAGCUUUAAGCGACGACGCAAGAGCUUUUAAUAACAUUGGCUAAAUCAUGCACAAGUAAUGAAGAAAAGGGUCAAAAUUUUCACCUAUCAAAACAGUUUAACUUACAAUCAACUUGAAGAAACUCUACAACAUACCUAAAAUCAUGAAUUUAAAGCACUGAGAUUGAUCACAGUAACCAAAAAAUGAGUCAACUCUCAAGCAAUCAAUCAAGUUCAAGAAAAUCUACAACAGUCAUAAUAUCAUGAAAUCAAAGAACCACAUUAAUCACAUUAGCUUAAAUCCAUCAAAAACCCCAUUCUCAUCCCAAUUACCAAUAAUCAGUAAAAGGGUCAACUUUUCACCAAUUAUUGAAUCAAGUUAAAGAAUUCUAAAAUGGUCAGAUAAUUGCCACAACUCUUUAAAGACGAAUUAUCAAUUCAAAUUACAAAUUCUCAGAUAAUUCAGAAACUAAACAUAGUUAAAAAAUUGCAGAGGGUGUUAAAUUCACCAUUUUCUUGUGAUUCUUGAUGUGUUGUUUUUCUCUGCUUGCUGCUUCUGGAAGCUGACCUUUUCUUUUUAACUGCUACAAUGACACAAUGUUCGUUCAAAGAUGAUGGGCGGACUAGCUACGCUACAUUCUUGAGUUUCUUCACCCUUUUCUGAUUCCUUAUGCAUUUGGUGUGGUACCAUGUGCAUCAAGAGGAGUACAACCAACUGUAGUAUUUUUUAUGGUAAAUUGACAUUGUAACCCCUAACUACUUCAAACAUAAUAAACUACCCAUUUACUUCUUUUUUUUUACCCCUCUUGAUUUUGUUGUUUUUAAUAAGAGAUUUUACUUUUACACAUAAAAGAUCUUAAAAUAAUAUAAAGUAAAUUUUUAAAUAAUUAUUUUCUUAUAUUCAAAUUAUAAAAGGUUAUGUUCACCUAUUUCCUCGAUUCGUGGGAAGAAAAAAAUAUAUUGUACUCCCUCUACUUUAAAAAGAUUGAUAUUAUUUCAUUAUUCGUUAGUUUAAAAAAGAUUGACAUCUUUCAAUAUUUUCAUAUGAAAUUUUUAUAGCCACACUAGUGAUAUGACAUGUGGCACACCACAAGUUUCAAAUUUUUUACAGCCAUAUUGUUUGACAAAAAGUAUAGAUCUUGGUUCAAAUAAUUAAAUUUAUAUAAACAAGGGUUAAUCUUAGCUAACAAUAAUACCCUUAGAUGGAGCUCUUGUAGAAACAACAAAUACUAUGUAGAUAUAGUCGGACAGUGCAAUGGCUUACAAUUAAUAUUCUAGAAAUCAGAGGCAAUAAUGUAGCAUUCAAUAUCAAUGAAUAGUAAUAAAUGACAUUUAAGUAAAUAGAAUGAAUGAGUCACCCAAGAAAGGGUGGAAUAAGUGGAUGCUCUUUCUGACAAUGAUGAAUGAUAGACAAUCCCUUGAAUAUUUUAGUUAUUUUCGGAUCUAGUAGAAAAGCAUAUACAAGAAUCUCAGUGAAAAUGUGAUGUUUGUAUCUUAGUAAAUCAUAUUUGAUUCUCUUUCUCAAGUCAAAGUGUAUUUUUUACAAAUGAUAUCACCUAUCACCUAUCAUUGUGUCUUUUUGUAUUCGAAAAAUAUCCUGAAAUAUCCCUCUAUUAUUAGAAAUUAUUUAAAUUACCCUCCAUUAUAUUAUUGGAUCAGAAAAACCCUACCGUCUCACUAUCAAACACAUAUACCCCUUCUUUGACGGACUAGACAUGUUACAUGCAUCCAAGGCUCAUGGUCCAUCUAGCUUAAGUUAGACUUGACCCACCCCAUUACCCAAUACCUGAGUCGUUAAAUUUGACUCUCACUAACAAAUUCAAAUCGCCUCAUUACAUGACAGUAACUCCAUUGUUAAUCAGAAAUCUGGCAUGGAUCGUUUAUAUAAAGAUGGUUCAAUCACUUAUUUAUAUACUUAUACAUUGUGGGAGUUAGUUAUUACAUGGAUCAACAAUUGGAAGAGGACAGUGAGAUAAAACUCCAUUUCUGAUUUUGAGAACUAGAAGAAAGCAAAGGACAUGCCAUAACAGAUUGCAACCAACGUUGAUUGUCCAGCAAUAGAAAACCAGAUGAUUGACAUGAUGGAUCUAGUUAUUCCAUGACCAAAGUCCAAUUAUUCCAUGCUGAAAAUGAAGAUGACGACAACUUUGAGGAAUAAGAUGAUUCCCAUUAAGAGUGCAAUAUUGGUUAUUUUUUUGGAAAUAUUCAAAAUUGGACCAACGCUUGUCGUGUACGAGGACCUAAUCGAGAUAACAAUCGCCAUUGAGAACCUCAACAACGGUAUUGGCAAUGGUGGUGGUUUUACCAAUGCCAUCUUUGUGGGGGCAAUGAUGACAACUUUUGGGGUUUAUCUAACGAGCCGAGGUUACGGUUGUACUAGAGGAUGAAAUGGAUGGAAGGGUAGAAGUUUCUAGGAGGUUUGAGAGUGGGAAUGAGUUUUAGGGUUUUGAGAGAUACAAAAUUGGGAGGGGUAAUGGAGGAACAAUAGUGAGAGACGGGCUUAGGGUUACAUAGUGGCUUCAGAGAUAAUAUUUUUGUGUGGAGGAAAUGAGAGAUUAUACUAUUGAGUGAAAGAGAAGAAACUUGGUUGGAGAGGGUGAACUUUAAUGGAUUGGGUACCGGGUAAUGGGGCGGGCUGAAUCUAAUUUAAAACUAGAUGGACCAAGAGCCUUGGAUGUGUGCCACGUGUAAAGUCCACCAAAGAAAGGAUAUAUAUGUUUGAAUAUUAAGACGGUAAGGGUUUUUCUGAUCGAAUAAUAUAACAAAGGAUAAUUUUAAAUAAUUUUUAAUAGUAUAGAGAUAUUUCAGGGCUUUUUACGUUUUGAAUUUAUAGGGAACAUGCUCCUAAAAAACCUAAUAAUACAAGUGUAGAGAAUAUCUACUAGAAUAUUCUCUUUAAUACCCUAGCUUGAAACUAGCCAUUAUAACUCCUUCAAAAGUACUCGACCUCGACCCUUGUUAACUCUUCGACCUCAAACUUUGCCGCUUCUUGAGCCAUUUCAACAACCGACGACUUGGGAGCUCUUCCCCUAGUAGUAUCUUGGCUUCAAUAUUCUAACGAUAGAUUUUGACCCAUACAGUUAGUCCCUCCGCUUAUUGAGGUCGACUUCAGGUGGGUUCGAUGAACGAAUCUUGUUCUUUGUGGUCGAAACAAUCGAGCGAGCUAUGCAGCUCGUGGUGCUUUUGGUGAACUGGCAGCAUGGCCCUACGUGGGCCGCACAUUUCAAACGCUUCGAUUUUCCCAGGCGAUUUGCUGAAAUCAUGCCGUUUACGAGUUAGGAUGAUAUCAUGACGUCAUGCGUCAUUAUGAUGUAUAUUUUCAAUGCGUUGCUUCAUUUCGCCUGUGAUCUCUGAUUAAAAAGCUACCGCUUCAGUAUUGGUGCCAGUAAUGAUGAACCAUUUUUGGCUCUGGUGCCAAGACCCUUAUAAAUAGAGUUAUUUGGAUGCGAUUUUGAGGUUUAAUUUUUCUGUUGUUUCGAAAUCCCAUAUUUUUCUCUUGCUCUCUUCUUGCUUCGAAGUUCUCUUCUCUGUUCUAGUGAUUUGUAUUGUUCUUAGUUCUUCCUCAUUUGAUACCUCUCUUUCCUUUAUCAAACUAUGUCUAACAUGCCUUUUGAGUCUAGUGAGGGAAGUCAUGUGGCCCCCUUAGCAGUGGUGUUUCCUUCCCAUAAGGAGAGUGCUCCUACCACCGUUAAGGAUGGAAACUUCCCGUUGGUGGAGGAGAUGAUUCCUUGCAACUUUCAGUAUAUCACCAGAUGCUGAACCUGGAGCCUUUCGGUCAGUGAUGACGGUGAAGGAAUUGGAAGAACUUAAGGCUAAGUUUGGCCUUUCUAAUCACAUUGAAUUAAUCUCGACUAGAUGGGAUACGGUGGGGGUCCACCCGUCUUAGGUAUUGCGCCUUCUACGUCUACCCAUUCCAAGUCAGCUACUCUCUCCCUCUCCUUCCGUUGGUGGAGGAAUUUUGUCGUUAUUAUAACGUUUGCCUAGCUCAAAUCGCGCCUUAAGUUUAUAAACUUUUAAAGAUGCUUACAAGUUUGCCGAGCUAGCCGGGGUCGAGUUGACACUUCGGCACUUAAUACAUUUGUUCGCCCCUAGCUUUUAUAAAGGAACGAUGUUGAAUCUUCGCCACCAAUGGGGAAAGUGCUUGGAGGUGAAGCUGGACGACAAAGUCAACCGCCAAUUCUGGUUCAACUUCUUUUUUGUCAGAAUCGAGAACGUGGUGGUCAAAUGUCGACGGUUUUCCUUAGGCUUGGAAUUAUGUUCAUAAGCACCUAAUUUCCUUGCUUGUAGGUAUCUAAUUUUUCUCCUGUGCUUGGUCGUGGGCUUUGACUUCUUGUCAUCUUCUUAUGCAGCCAAGACCUUGCCUCCUCCUUCUGUCACUCACAUUUCUGACUGGGUUGACCGGCUCCUCCCUCACAUCGCCGGGAUCCGUGAAUGGCCAACUUUUUUCAAGAAGUUUGGGCCCGCUCUUUCUCUGACUGGUAAUCCCCUUUUACCAUCAGUGUCUUAGCUUAUUUUUUUGUUUACCUUCGCCGAACUUUCCCUUUCCCUGUGUUUUCUUAGCUCCGGACCGGGGAUCUUCAAGGAGGUUGAGAGCUCCUGCACCCUCGUUCUGGAAGAGGAAUGCUACUACGUUCUCGGCUCCUACCCCUGCUUCGACUGCAACUGAACCUCACAUUGUCCUGGUCCCUCCUGUUGCUGCAUCUGAUCUGUCCCUCCUUUAGCUACAGAGACUUUAGCCUUGGAGAUAUCGACUUCUCCCUUAUAUGCUCUUAUAGACGAGGACGACGAACCUUUGCCCGGUGAUGGAGAUUUGAUGCCUCAUAAGAGGAGGGCCGUGGACGUCAGGAGAGAGAGGUCAGCGGCCAACGAUAUAGGAGACUGUGGUUUUGUCCUCCGGGAGACGACCACAAUGCAUAUUGGGGAGAGCCUAGAAGCAAGUCCCAAGGCCAUAUGUUUGGAGGAUAUGGAUAUACGACCGGUGGGGGAUGUGGUUGAAGGCGAGGUGGGAAAUAAUAGCCUGUUAUUCCAAGGUGCGUUGAGGCCUCAUCUUCCAGGGUUGCGACGAAUGCUCCUUCUUCAACUAAUGAUAGAGGGAAGGCUGUUGCUGAGGGGGAUGUUGGAUCUGAUUCCGAUAUGGAUGUAGACGAGCUGAGGAUGAUCGACGAGGGGCUUACUCAGCUUGAAAUGAGAUUGGAGGAGGUUCACAGACUAUUACGAUCCUGAUGGAUCACAAUCGUCUUGUGGACACCGAGAAGAUUAUCCCCUCACUUGUCCCUCUUAGUUAUGAAGUUGAGGGUACGACCCUCAAGACUAUGAAUGACAACGGCUUGUGGAAUAACAUUGUCGGCCUCGCCCUUCAGGUAAGUACAUUCGCUGUUAGUUGUUAUCCUUUGAUUUUUUUUCUUUCACUGUCUCUAACUUCCUUUGUUUGUUUUGUAGACGGUCGUCUUAGAAAUUGAGAGUACUCGUAGGGAGCAGAGGCGUAAAGAUAUCUAUGUGAAGUUGAAGGACAAGUACUUCAGAGUCCUUGAGAAGUACCGAGAGCUUUGGUGUCAGCUUCGUGAGGGCCGCGAUAUGCGCCAAUUGAGGGAGGACUUGAAGGCCAGUAACGAGGAGCAUGUGUGGAUGGUGGGGAAGUGCAGCGUCUUGGAGGGGAAGUUGAGGAGCAAGGAGGAAGAACUCGAGCUCAACAAAGGGGCCGAAGCUGAGUGCAGUGAUAUCCAAGCUUAGAUGGUUUUGUUACGAGCCCGUCUUGAGGAGUGUCAAUUUAGGGGGGAGUUGAAUCCUUGCUCGUCCUCGAGACAAUUGUUUUAUUAAUAAUUGUUGUUUCUUGUAGAGUAGAAAAGUAAGAAAAAUAAAAUUUUACAUAAAAUUCAAAACGUAUAAGUUUUUCAAGUCGCCAAAUCUAUACCUUGUUUCUGCUUCUGCUUUUAUUUGCCAAAAACUUUCAACUCCUCUUUUUAUGAACCUUUUGAGAUUGAUAACAUUAUUAUCAUAAUUUGAGUUUAUCAAUUUUUUGUCCAUAAGCUUGCCCUUCAUGUCAGUCUCCACUAAUAUAGAAUCAACACUAAUUUAUAAUAUUUUAGGACUUUUUCAGGCUUGUAAUGAUAGGCUUAAUAAUGGUAAGGUAAAGGGAUAUAUUUGUAGUGACUUUGUUCCAUCCAGCUUUAUUAUGAGAGCCGAUUAUUUUACCAAAGUAACUAUGUAGAACUCAGCACAAAGAAAAUAACUCUAGAGAUUGGGCUAAAGGUCCCGGUCUCCAAUUCCAUAAUUAAUAUCACUUAACUCAUCAUUUCUCUAAAUAGAAUCCUUAAAUUCAAGAUUCUUGAACCAAGAAUUUAUUCUACAGAUAUAUACACCUUGUUUUUCUCUUUUUUUUUAAGAGUGAAAUAGAACAUUCACUCCACAAGUAUUCCUUCAUCGCUUGCUUUAAUAAUCAUUUUUGCUCAACUAUAGUCGGAAGGAGUAGUAUCGAUCUUUUUGUAGGAUAAACCAAUACGGUGUAUCAAUAAAAUAUGGUUUAUCCCCCUUUUUUUUCUCUUUUUUUUCUUCCUUAUUUUUUGGCUCAAAGUUAGGUGCUAAAAGGGAAAAUAUAAAUAUUUAUGGUUAAAAAUAGAUAGGCUAAAAAGUGUGUCAAAGAAAGCCUAAUUUCAUUCUAAAAAUAGUGUUGUCUAGAAUUUCGCCUUGAUAGAUAUUUGGGGCAAGUGCUAGCAGAAUUUUAUUGAUUCUUCCUGUUGAGAUCAUAAUGCUUCUCAGUUCCAACACUUUCUCAACUUUAGAGAUACUCGUUCUUGCCUUCACAAAAAUAAAAUCACAAACUUGGAAGUUAUAUGUCAUAAAUAAAAAAAAAUUAUGUUUGAAAAAUAUGUAAACAUUUACUUUAAAACUUAAUAUUGUACGAGAACAAUAAUUAAGAACAAAAUAAAAGAUGUAUAUAUAUAUAUAUAUAUAAAGAGAGUGAGAGAGAGAGAGAGAGAGAGAGAGAGAGAAGAAAAAACUUGAAAAAGUGUGUGACUACACAUGUUUUUAUAUGUAAUAGACUGACUAAUUUAAGACCUUAUUAGUCAUUUAGUCCUGCUUUAAAUAUAAACCAACAAAUUUACAUGUGCCAACAUUUUGAAUUGAUUCAUUAAAUGGUUAAUCAACCAGUUACUUAGGCAUAUCGAUUACUAUGGAGUUACUCCUGUACAUGUGACUCUGUUUUUGUAGACGCCUUCAUGAGAUGUUCUGGUUCUACAAUAACCUGGAUAUUGACCAGAUGAAUUGACUAAACAUUUAAUUAUCCAAAUCUAUGUCGGGAUUAUGAGGCUCCAUUGCUUCUCCCUCAAUGGCUACGAGUUUUGUAUCUUAGUUCUGAGUUUAACAUCGUCAGCUCGACUUAUUAAUUGCAGAAUUCAUCAGUCUAUUAAAGUAACCAAUGGAUGUUGUUCAAAGUGUCUUCUAAAGUUCAAUUUUAGCCUGUAACCAUUUACCUUAAACUUAUUUCCUCAAUUUUUCUGAAUUUCAAUUGUCCCGUAUGGAGUGACACCUAUAACAUUGUAAGGACCUGUCCACCUGGAUUUUAAUUUUGUAGGAAUAACCUGAGUCAGCUAUUGUAAAGAAGUACCUUAUCUCCAAUUUUGAAACUCUUUGGUCGGAUCAACUUGUCAUGCCAUAUUUUUGUUUUUUCUUUGAAAAUUUUAGCAUUUUCAUAUGCUCCCAAUCUCAGUUCUUCCAAUUCAUUAACCUGAGUAAAUCGCUUUUUACUAGCAGAGGUUAAAUAAAAGUUUAGUGCUUUCAAUGCCCAAAAAACUUUGUGUUCUAAUUCUACGGGCAAAUGACAAGCUUUUCCAAAUACUAAUCUAUAUGGAGUGUUCCAAUUGGCGUUUUGAAUGCCGUUUAGUUGUAACGAUCCGACCAGUCAUUUUGAGAUCUAGCAUAUUAUUCAGCGGUAUGAGGCCAUGAGCAGCUUCAUUUCAGGUAGUAUAAAUUGUACGCGUAGUUGGAAUUAAAAUUCGAGGAGUUCGGAGUUGAUUUGGAAAGGGAAUUCUCAUUUUGGAAGCUUAAAGUGAAACAAUAUGACUAUGGGUUGAUUUUGAGUAAACGACCUCGGAAUCAGGAUUUGAAGGUUCUAAAAGGUUCGUAUGAUGAUUUCAUAAUUGGGCGUAUGUCCGGAUUGGAUUUUGGAUGAUCCGGGAGCAUUUCGGCGCCUAUUGUGGAAGUUAGCAUUUUGGGAAGAAUUUCAUAUAUUUGGGUUGUAGUGCAUUUUAGUGUUAUUGAUGUUCCGAGUCUAGGAAUAGCUCCAUAUGGUGAUUCUGGUAUUGGGAGCGCAUCAGAAAGUGGAUUUGGAGAUCUGUAGGUCAUUUUGGAGUCAUUUGGCUAAAGUUAGACAUUUAAAGGUUUUGAGAAGUUUGACCGGAGGUGGAAUUUUUGAUAUCGUGGUCGGAUUCCAAUUACGGAAGUUGAAGUAGCUCCAUAAUGUUGAAUAUGACUUGUGUGCAAAAUUUGAGGUCAACCGGACGUGAUUUGAUAUGUUUCGACAUCGAAUGUAAAAGUUUGAAAUUCUAAAGUUCAUUAAGCUUUAAUUGGAGUGUGAUUCAUGGUUUUAGCGUUGUUUGAUGUGAUUUCAGGCCUCAAACAGGUCUGUGUAAUGUUAUGGGACUGGGUUGUGUGAUUGGACGGGGUCCCGGGGGCCUCGAGUGUGUUUCAGAUCGAUUUUGGAUGAAAAGUUGGUGUUGGUUUGCUGGUGCUGGUUUUGCCUCACACGAACGCGAGGGAAGAGACGCGUUCACGUAGAAGAGUUUCUGGGCUGGUAUUUUUGCCCUAAGCGAAUGCGGUGAGGGUCCUAUGAACACGUAGGUGGGCCUGGCAGUGCCUCGCGAACACGGUGGCCCAUCCGCGAAUGCGAAGAAGAAAAGAGGGAGUUGGGCCUAAGGCCAUUUGGCAUACGCGAACGCGUAGAAGGGAACGCGAACGCAAAGGAGCGGGUUAGCUGGCCUUCGUGAUCAAAGGGUUGCGAACGCGAAGUGAGAAUUCUGGGCACGAGGUCGUGGAGCUUCGCGAACGCGAGGGCUGUGCCGCGUUCACGAAGAAGGGUCGGAUUGGGUAGUGAGUUGUUUUAAAAACAAGUUUUGGCUCAUAUUAUCUCAAAAUCUUACAUGAGAGCCGAGUUUAGGGCAAUUUUGGAGGAGCUUCUUCAUUACCAUCACUAGGUAAGUGAUUUCUUUCCAUUUGUGAGUUAAAUACAUGAAUUAUACAUGGAUUGGAACAUGGAAAUUAGUAGAAAUUAUGGGUUUUGGUAGAAGACAUAAGAAUUGGUAUUUUUAGAUUUUGACCACGAAAUUGGACACGGAAUUUAGAAUAAAUUAUAAAUUUGAGUUCAUGGGACUAUGGGUAAAGUUUAUCUUCGAAAAAUUUCGGAAUCAGGGUACGUGAGUCCAAGGGUAAUUUUUAUUGACUUUUCGAUCAGGGUUAGAAAUUAUUAUAAAUUGGAUUAUAAUGAGUAUUCGAGCGUAUGUUAAUGGGUUUGCAUAAUUAUUGGAUAACUUUGGAGUGUUGGGCAUCGAUUCAAGUUGUUUGAAGGGCUCGGAAGCCGAUUAUGAAACUUCGGAGCGAAGUAAGUCUCCUUUCUAACCUUAUAAGAGGGAAUUAACCCCCUAGGUGAAAUAAUUUAAUAUGUGCUCCUAUUUGUGGGGGCUACGUACACACGAGGUGAUGAGAGUCUGUGUGUAGCUACUAUUUAACUUAAGUUCGGGUAGUCUAGGACCCAAAAACAUGUUUUACUUAUAAUAUUUGCAGCCUAAUUGUCUAUUUAAAAUGCUUAAAUAAUAUCAAACUUGGUAAAUAAACUUCUAAAAGGCUAAACAAUAUUUUAUUGACUGAUAAAAGAGGAAUUGCCAUUUCCUUGGAUAAUUGCCCUUUGAUGAAUUCUUGAUUAACUGUUUAAAUGUGUUUACCUUUUAUGGAACAGGUCGAAUGCCUCAGUAGAUUAAGUAGAUGCAUCUAUGAUUCACGCCAUUCGACCCUCUGGCUAUGCACAGUUUAAAUAUUAUGUUGGAUCGGGCCGUACGACCUCGACAUGAUUUGUGCAUGCUUGUAUUGCUUGCCCUGAAAUUUAUAAAUAAUGAUAUUGCUUCCCCGGUCUGCGAUAAAUUGAUAAAUGAUGAAAUAUGAUUGGAAACCUAUAUUAUCAAAAGAAUUGUUUACUUGCUUCAUGAUUUCCUUGAGUUAACUGCCGUUUUAAUAUAUCCAUGACAUAUUAUAUUAUUGAUGGCCAUAGUAAGUGUCGGAGUCGACCUCUCGUCACUACUACUUCGAGAUUAGACUGGAUUCUUACUGGGUACACGUAGUUUUCAUACUCAUACUACACUUUCUAUGCAUUUUUGUUGCACAUGCACCUGUAUGUCUAGGGCCAAAUGGGUGCAGCAGCAUGGUUGAUAUGGAAACUUAGGUGAGCUGCAUCUCUCGAGACAACCCGCAACCAACAGAGUCUCCUUCAGAGUAGUUGUAUUUUCUAUUCCUGUCCAAAUUGUAUUCCGGACAAAUACUGUAUUCAUUUUAUUCUUCCUAGUUGAUGCUCAUGCACAUGUGACACUGGAUUCUGGGAUGAUUAUAAAUUAUUUAUUAUUGACAUGUUUGAAAAUAAUAUUAUCCAUCAUGAAAUUUUAUCUUUUUACUACUGAAUUGAAGAAAAAUUGUGAUUUUAAAAAUACUAAAACGAGGACUAAAUUGAGUAAUUAUGGUUGGCUUGCCUGAUAGCUGUGUCUGGCACUAUCACGACCUUUAUUGAAUUUUGGGUCAUGGCAACAUGGUAUCGGAGCACUAGGUCACUUAGGUCUCACGACAUGAGCACGUCUAGUAGAGUCUUGCAGAUCGGUACGAAGACGUCUGUACUUAUCUUCGAGAGGCUACAGGGCUAUUAGGAGCAUUUCCCUUCUUGAUUCCUUAUCGUGCGAUUUGAUUCCUCAGAGGCGUGUGCUUUAUUUCCUUCCCAUUUAAUCUUAUGCGACGUGAAACGCUGGUUAUAAAUCGAGAAUUGAGGAAUCACAAUGGUACUACAGACGUGGUGCAGGAUGUUUCUCCCUGCGUUUUGAUUGGGCCGUUGCCGUCGCCUUGCGGAAGGCCAUUCUAUCAAUAUCAGUAUUACCUUAUGUUUUGAGAUUUGGCAUUGAUUGUUAUGACGAUUCGUGCAUUGCUAUCGCACAGUGUGGUGUAAUGAUAGGAUGCUUGUUUGUGCAUCGAAGUAGUGAAUGACUUGGAAGGAUGUUUACUUAGUGCCAGAUUCAGAGAUUCAGUAUUUUAUAUCCGACAGAGAAAGGGCAACCGGACUAUGAGUCUUCAGGUUGGGGUUGAUGGAGUAACGAUACUUGGUAUUUUCGAGCAUGGUGGAAUCUUCAUCUAUGAUAUGGUGUCAUCAUCUUUGACUGAAUAUAAAGUGUUAAGUUCGCCGGUGUUAUGGUUCUCUUCAAUUCGCCUAUGAAAUAGAGUAUUAUGAAAGGUGCGGGAGAAGCGGCUGUCAGAGAUCGCAGUGUGCUGUGGUUUAGGAUCGAAUCGGCGUUCCUAGUAUUGAUGGCUCGAGAAAGAUGAUUUUCGGAAGGGUUUAGAGCUGGUGAUGACCUGUUAGUUCAAGUGCUACAGAGAUGGAUUUUGAUUUAAGGCAAUAACUGGACAACAAAGGAUGAGGAAGGACAUGUGGGGGGUGUCUUGCAGUGGUUAAACUUUUAGAAGGCCAAGUGUGAGAAGUAGGAGUCGAGUAGUUGCUUAAAGGUUGAGUUUGACCAAAGUGGGAGAGUGGAGGAGUACAUAUGGGUUCUGUGGUAGGAUGAUUACACGCCUUGAGAAAUGUGUAGAGAGAUUUGGGAUUCAUGGUGGACGGUGACUAGGUCUACAGACUCAAUUUGGAAUAUUAGCUGUUAUAUGGGGGAGAUUGGAUACAACAUGGCUUUGGAUUCGAAUAUGUCGUCGCACCUUUAACUGAUGUCAAUAGGGAGUGAAUAGGUUUGUACAACUGGUGAAUAGGCAUGGACCCGGGAUGGUUUAUUGGUUCCGUAGUCAUUGCACCUAGUGCAAUGACAUUGGAAAAUGUCGGCAUGUAAUUUCCAUAGGUGGAUUAUCUCCUGUGAGUAGGUCAGCGGUCGCGUGGUUGAUGGAGCUUCUAUGAAGAAUUCUACUGGCUAUCUGGCUAGAGGUUGAAUAUGUAAACGUAGCUAGUGAUUCACAGUGUUCAUGAAAUAGGUAACAGGAAGAUUUUGAGGAGUUUUGCGGGUUGAUUGUGAAAGAUCAUGUCCACAACGAAGGAAGAAUCUUCGUGGGUUUCAGGUUUAUGCAAUGGUAGCUUCAAGCUAAGUGGGAGAGUCCCACCGCUUAUGAUUGGAUUGUAUGGUUAUCUACUUGUGUGGUUUAUGGUGAUCGACAUAUAGAUGGGUUAUUACGACUAAGGAAAGAAAACAUCAGUGGUGAUUGGAGCAAAGGAUUUGAGGAAUGUGUGCUAUAAUUGACCUUAUUAAUUCGUCUUCAGGCUUUGGGAAAGUUCAAGAUUUAUGCUUCGUAUAGAGGUGAUUUACAAGGAAAGUGAUUCAGCUCAGUGCUUCUUUGAGAGGGUGUUCAUGUGCUAGAAAAGCCUUGGAGUUUGAUUAUAUUCAAGACCAAGUCAGAGUGGGUGACUCUCAACAAUGGUCCUAGGGGAUUCAAAAGUUGAAGUGUGGUGUAUGGGGAUUUCAAGUCCAUAAUAUGGUUGAGUGUCGAGCUUUUGCAGCGGAGUAUAAAGAAAGGGCUUGGAGUGUUCUAUGUUAUCUUAGGCUUGUAGUGUGGCAUUUGGAGGAUUGAGGACAAAUGACUUCGGAUGCAUGAAGAAAUUAUCAGAAUGAGUGUACUAGUUAAAAACGCAAAUAUGUGCACAAGAAGGGUAUGAGAUGGUUCGUGGGAGUUGAGACAACAUGGUCUCGUGAUACAAGGCCACUCAUGAUGAGUGCAGAUUGAGUUCGUUAUAGGUUAAAUGGAGUUAUUAUUAUUUCUAAGCCAAGUUAAGAAUCGGUCAGAAGAAAUCAGAUCGGUUAGCCAUGGUUGAAUUGUCAUAAUGGUGGCAGUGAUCAGUUCCUUCAGUGUGAUUAAAUUAUGCAUGUGAUUUGUGACAGUAUGUGUGAGGCUUGACGACCACCGUAAUUGGUUUUAUUGGAUGUACUCAAGUGUUAUGGCAUGCCAUGUGUAGUUGGAUCCGGAAGGGUUGUGGUGGUUUAGAACACUACUUGAGGAUUUGUGUGUUCUACGUUUAUGAGAAUUUAGUCUUGUGUUGUAGUGAUUCUCCUGAAACGAGUAAGUGAAAGGUUUCCUCGUAGUGAAGUGUGUAUCCUAUUAGUGGUUUAGGAGUUAUGAUGAAAUUCUUGGGUUCUCGCGUAUCGGUAAGAUAGGUGCAGUGAGUGGCAUGAAAUUUGAAAGUUAAGGAUUAAUGUCAUUGUUUGGUAGUGACAAGGAUGUCACGAGCUCGGAUGAGCAGGAAAGGGUUUAAAUGUUUAAAGUAAGCUGGUAUUGUUCUCACCGUCACCUAGGGUCGAUUGUCAUGUGUAAGAGGCCUUGUGUAUUGAUUUGCGGAUUCCUGAGCGUAUCUCACGUGAAGAUUGUAUAAGUGUGACAUGUAGUCACUUGAUUGAUUAAAGAUUUAAACCAAGUAUGGAGGUUGUGGUAAUAUCACUAAUUUGAGAAUUUAUGCCUAGAGGGCGCUCGGUUCAUUUGGUUGUGGACUGUAGGAGUUUGUUCUGAUUAUGAUGGCUGUUCUUGUGUGUUAUGGGAAAAAUGGGUUAUUAUGGAUCCUUGAAAGGUUAUUUGCCUAGUGCAGUGCGAUCAGAAUGGGCUUGAGGUCUGUGGAUGAAUUUAAAUAUGAAUGUGGGCUCUAUAUCAAGCUGGAUGUGUUCAUUUCAGCAUAUCGCUCCUUAUGGGGGAGUAUUCAGAUGUUGGAUGUCGUUUCGUCAUUGGCUAUUUCAUGUAAUACUACAUUGUGCCGUGUGAGUUGUGAAACGGCUUGAUAAAUUUCAUAUGUGUUGAGAUUCUGCAUAGCGAUGGCGUUAUGUGAGCAGGAUGGCUCUCGAGAUUCAGGUCAUAUAUCACACCUUAUAUGUGCUUGAGUUUUGUAGUGUAUGGCGCUAUCUGUAUCCCCGGGGAUAGUAUUAUGCACUUAGCAUGCUUGUGGCCGAUAUUCGAGUAUCUUGCAGUAAGGAGCAUUCUAGCUCAGUAAGUAUCUCUUUAUGUAGAUUUUAUGUGUGGAUCGGGUGGCACGCCACCAUGGGAAUAUUGUUUGGAUUGGGUUGCACGCCGCAAUAGUGUGAUGUUGAGUACAGUCCCCUAUAUUUGUUUCUGUGUGUUUGGUUUCCCAUUUUCUGAGGAAGGUUCAUAACACCUUCUCGGUGAUCUAAAUAGUUAUGUGGGUUGAGUGGUCUCUUCCAGAGUUUGUUUUCCUUAUGUAUCACGUUUGAGUUUGUAACUUAUUGGCAUAUUGUGGCAUCACAUGAGACUUCUAGGCAGCGCCUGGGUGGCUUAUUGCCUGAACAACUUAUACUGGUUGAGACAAGAUUAUUGGAUCUGGGAUCAGUGCGAUCAGAUUAUAUGAAGUAUAUUAGAGAGCAAAUACCAUUACUUGGUUCUCAAUGAGGUGAAGAUUCUAGUCAAGAGGAGAGAUUCAAUGAUUUGUUGACUUGGCAAUUGGUUAUGAAUUUCUGCAUGUCUCUUCUGUCAUGGCGGUAUUACAAGAAUUGGAACAAGACUUGUAUAUGUCAUGGGGUGCAUUGUGAGCAUCAGAUUCGAGGAAUGUAGGCUGUUAUGAUAAGAGAAUGUUAUUAUGGUCCUGUGAAUGAUGUGGUGCAUAGUGUGAAUUCAGCAACGGUAUACAGUCAUGGUCUGGUACAUCAUGUAGUGAUUGAUACGGUGUUCGUAUGUUGGAAACAGGUUUGGCAGAGAAUUCCGGAUGUUGGAAUUGGGAUCCAAGGCUUAUUUGCCUAAAUAAAAGAGAAUCUCUUUAGAGUAGCUCGAGCUAAUGUGCUCGACUGAGUUAUGGUAACACGGGAAGGUGCACGAGGUGUUAAAUAGUGAUUUCAGACAACUCCAACACAGUUCUUAGCACGUUAGAGGAUGAACGUAUGUUUAAGUGGGAGAGAAUGUAACAACCCGACCGGUAGUUUUGCGAUCUAGCGGUCGUUCAGCGAUAUGAGGCUAUGAGAAGCUUCACUUCAGGUAGUAUGACUUGUACGCGUAGUCGAAAUUGAAAUUCGAGGAGUUUGGAGUUGAUUUGGAAAGAGAAUUCUCAUUUCAGAAGCUUAAAAUAGGAAGAAUCUGACUAAGGGUUGAUUUUAAUAAACGACCUUGGUAUCGGGAUUUGAAGAUUCCAACAGGUUCGUAUGAUUAUUUCGGACUUGGGCGUAUGUCUGGAUUGGGUUUUGGAUGAACCAGGAGCAUUUCAGCACUUAUUGUGGAAAUUAGCAUUUUGGGAAGAAUUUCAUAAAUUUGGGUUGUAGUGAAUUUCUGUGUUAUAGAUGCCCGUUUGGGAUUCUGAGUCUGGGAAUAGCUCCUAUGUGAUUCUGAUAUUGGGAGCACGUCCGGAAGUGGAUUUGGAGGUCCGCAGGUCAUUUUGGAGUCAUUUGGCUAAAGUUAGAAAUUUAAACAUUGAGAAGUUUGACCGGAGGUGAACUUUUUGAUAUCAGGGUCAGAUUCCAUUUCUGGAAGUUGGAGUAGGUCUGUAAUAUCGAAUAUGACUUGUGUGCAAAAUUUGAGGUCAAUCAGAUGUGAUAUUUUAGGUUUCGGCAUCGAAUGUAGAAGUUUGAAAUUCUAAAGUUCAUUAACCUUGAAUUGGAGUGUGAUUCAUGGUUUUAGCGUUGUUUGAUGUGAUUUGAGGCCUCGAGCAGGUCCGUGUGAUGUUAUGGGACUAGGUUGUGUGAUUGGAUGGGGUCCCGGGGGCCUCGGGUGUGUUUCGGGGUGGUUUCAGAUCGAUUUUGGAUGAUAAGCUGCUGCUGGUUUGCUGGUGCUGGUUUUGUCUUACGCGAACGCGAGGGAAGAGACGCGUUCGCAUAGGAGAGUUUCUGGGCUAGUGAUUUUUUCCCUACACGAACGCGGUGAGGGGCCUGCGAACGCGUAGGUGGGCCUGGCAGUGCCUCGCGAACGCAGAGGCCCAUCCGCGAAUGCGAAGAAGAAAGGAGGGAGCUAGGCCUAAGGCCAUUUGGCCUAUGCGAACGUAUAGAAGGGAACAUGAACGCGAAGGAGCAGGUCAGCAAACCUUCAUGAACGCGAUCAAAGGGUAGCAAACGCGAAGUGAGAAUUCUGGGCGCGAGGGCUGUGCCGCAUUCGCGAAGAAGGGUCGGACUGGGCAGUGAGUUGUUUUAAAAAUGCAUUUUGGCUCAUUUUAUCUCAAAAUCUUUCAUGGGAGUCGAGCUUAGGGCGAUUUUGGAAGAGCUUCUUCGUUACCAUCACCAAGUAAGUGAUUUCUUUCCAUUUGUGAGUUAAAUACAUGAAUUAUACAUGGAUUGGAAUAUGGAAAUUAGUAGAAAUUGUGGGUUUUGAUAGAAGACCUAAAAAUUGGUAUUUUUAGAUUUUGACCACGAAAUUGGACAUGGAAUUUAGAAUAAAUUAUAUAUCUGAGUUCGUGGGGCUAUGGGUAAAGUCUAUCUUCAAAAAAUUUCGGAAGCAGCGAUUUUUAUCGACUUUUCGAUCGGGGUGAGAAAUUGUUAUAAAUUGGAUUAUAAUGAGUAUUUGAGCGUAUGUUAGUGGGUUUGCAUAAUUAUUGGCUAGUUUUGGAGCGUUGGACAUCGAUUUAAGUUGUUUGAAGGGCUUAGAAGUCUGUUAUGGAACUUCGGAGCGAGGUAAGUCUCUUUCUAACCUUGUAAGAGGAAAUUAACCCCCUAAGUGAAAUAUUUUAAUAUGUGCUCCUAUUUGUGGGGGCUACGUACGCACGAGGUGACGAGAAUCCGUACGUAGCUACUGUUAUGCUUAAGUAUAGGACCCAAAAGCAUG